This 76-nucleotide transfer RNA is filed under the name Chloroflexota bacterium. Its description in RNAcentral is "Chloroflexi bacterium tRNA-Ala". It matches the Rfam family "tRNA". From Rfam's summary of the family: Transfer RNA (tRNA) molecules are approximately 80 nucleotides in length. RNAcentral also lists the same sequence under 1 other name. The record is from RNAcentral. Lineage: Bacteria; Bacillati; Chloroflexota.
GGGGCUGUAGCUCAUCUGGGAGAGCGCCUGCUUUGCAAGCAGGAGGUAAGGGGUUCGAGUCCCCUCAGCUCCACCA